GUAGGUGGCAAGCGUUGUCCGGAAUUAUUGGGGCGUAAAGCGCGCGCAGGCGGUUCUUUAAGUCUGAUGUGAAAGCCCACGGGCUCAACCGUGGAGGGUCAUUGGAAACUGGAGAACUUGAGACAGAAGAGGAAAGCGGAAUUCCACGUGUAGCGGUGAAAUGCGUAGAGAUGUGGAGGAACACCAGUGGCGAAGGCGGCUUUCUGGUCUGUAACUGACGCUGAGGCGCGAAAGCGUGGGGAGCAAACAGGAUUAGAUACCCUGGUAGUCCACGCCGUAAACGAUGAGUGCUAAGUGUUAGGGGGUUUCCGCCCCUUAGUGCUGCAGCUAACGCAUUAAGCACUCCGCCUGGGGAGUACGGCCGCAAAGGCUG
This 373-nucleotide ribosomal RNA is filed under the name uncultured organism. Its description in RNAcentral is "partial 16S ribosomal RNA". It matches the Rfam family "Bacterial small subunit ribosomal RNA", at positions 527 to 896 of the family's 1533-position model. The record is from RNAcentral.